GUGUGUGACCCUCUAGGCCCAAUAUCGAGCUGGCGUGAGUCAUACUGUCGAACUCCUUCUAACUUCGGUGAAUUAUUAUCUCGUAAUAAUUCCUUUCGACUCAUCGACUACUGGGGACAUGCUAGGCCCUCUUGCAGUAGUCCCCGGUGUCUGAGGGGAAUCAAUCCAUUGGACACAUGUCGUCUCGAUUACCAUGUACCUAUAGUCCCUCAUCCAUCUAAUAUCCCGAGAGGCGUAUAUCGAGCAUGGUGUUGUCAGACCCAUACGGUUUCUACUCGAGUCUCGCUCUGUCGGUUCUCCCGGAACUCUUUCUCUCUCAACCCGAAUGACCCUGGCGAGGAUUUGCUCAAAACAAGAAUACAUGGGAUAUUCCUCUCAUGGCCUGCCAGAGUGGAUGAUCCUCUAUCGACACUCAAUAGCCUCGUGGGUUAUUUACCACUCCCAAUGACCAGCGGUACUAGAUGCGGGACAGCCAAACCUAUAAGUCUGGUAUCAAAGAGUGGAGCAUUCAUCUAUGACAUCCCUUGGCAUCUCAAGUCUGGGGACGGAUACACCACUAGGACUUCGGAAUCAUUUCUCGACAAUAAGGCAUCAUCAACCAUCCAGCAUUCCGUGCGGAUCAAUCAGUGAACUCAUUUCUCCAAUGAGCACAUCUUGUAUCCCUAGUGUCCCUACAGGCAGCUAUAAGACCAGGCAUCCAUCCUUAUGGACGGGUAUCACAGCACCGGUCUAUCUGUAGUAUCACGAUGUCCUCUCGGUAACCUAUGAUGGAAUUAUUUAGGAUAUGUGUUAAAGGUGAAUCAAUCUCAUUAUCAUGAUCUCAUCGAUCCGAUUCCCAUUACCAAAUCCAGGACAUCACAAUAUAUAUAUGCAUUUAUGCAAUAGUUAUAAAGUGAUAUCGCCAAAAUAUAAUAAACAAAAGAUUUUUGUAUCAAGUCACACUUGCCAUCACUCCGUGAUUGGCUUGCUGGGCACCUAUUAUUUAGCACAAUGUAGGCAAGGAAGUCGGCAAAAGCGGAUCCAGUAACCGGAAAAGGAUUGCUCCUCAGAGGCGAGCCGCGGGGUCCCGACCCCGAACCGUCGGCUGUUGGCGGACUGCUCGAGCUGCUCUCGGGAGAGCUUGGUCGCCAGCGAUGCCAGCGGGGGGCCGGACGGGAAUGGCCCCCCUCCUUCCGGCGUCGAAACAGUCGACUUCGGCGAAUGCGGACAAGGGAAUCAUUUUAAUUAAAAAAAGCAUUGCGAUGGUCCCGCGGAUGCUCGCAUGAUGUGAUUUCUGCCGGUCAUCUGAAUGUCAAAGUGAAGAAAUUCAAUAGCCGCAGGUAAGCGGCGGAAAUAACUAUGGCGCUCUUAAGGUAGCCAAAUGCCUCGUCAUCUAAUUAGUGGCGUGCAUGAAUGGAUUAACGAGAUUCCCAUCCCCUCAUCUACUAUCCGUGAAACCACAGCCAAAGUGCAGGGCUUGGCAGAAUCAGCGGGAAAAGAACCCUGUUGAGCCUAGACUCUAGUCCGACUUUGUGAAAUGACUUGAGAGGUGUAGGAUAAGUGGGGCCGGUUUAAGCGUGAAGUGAAAUACCACUACUUUUAACAUUAUUUUACUUAUUCCAGUGAGUGGGUGGGGGCCACGGCCCCUCCUUUUGGACCAAGGCCCGCCCUAGCGGGUGAUCCGGCGGAAAGACAUUGUCGGUGGGGAGUUUGGGCAAAAGGCACAUCUGUUAAAAGAUAGCAUGGUGUCCAAAGAUGAGCUCAAGGAAAUAAAAAUCUCGUGUGGGACAAAAGAUUAAAAGCUUCGUUUGAUUCUGAUUUCGAUCUGAAUCUGAACAGCAAAGCGUGGCCCUCUCGAUCCUUUGAACCUUCGAAUUUGAAGCUAGAGGUGUCGAAAAAAGUUACCACAGGGAUAACUGGCUUGCGUGGCGUUCAUAGCGGCGUUGCUUUUUUUUGAUCCUUCGAUGUCGGGUCUUCCUAUCAUUGUGAAGCGAGAAUUCACCAAGUGUUGGUUGUUCACCCACCAAUAGGGAAGCGUGAGCUGGGUUUGAACCGUCAUGAGACAGGUUAGUUUUACCCUACCGAUGAUGGUGUCGCGAUAGUAAUUCAACCAAAUGCACAGAGGGAACAGUUGAUUCACACAAUUGGUCAUCGGCGCUUGGUUGAAAAAACCAAUAAUGGCUACCGUACCAUGUGUCAUUAUGACUGAGCGCCUCUAAGUCCAGAAUCUAGCUAGUACGGCAAACUCUAAGCCCAUCAUUAAGCCUCCGACCCACGGUAGGGGCCUUUGGCUAAUGGGCUCAUGCCGGUGUAGCCCUCGUGGUGGUAUAGUAGCAGGCGACCAUCGGAAGUGAAAUUCCAUACCA
Molecule: ribosomal RNA, 2345 nt
Filed under: Musa schizocarpa
Lineage: Eukaryota; Viridiplantae; Streptophyta; Magnoliopsida; Zingiberales; Musaceae
Description: bacterial LSU rRNA
Rfam family: Eukaryotic large subunit ribosomal RNA (bases 984-2345)
Source: RNAcentral